Molecule: transfer RNA, 73 nt
Filed under: Heliconius melpomene (postman butterfly)
Lineage: Eukaryota; Metazoa; Arthropoda; Insecta; Lepidoptera; Nymphalidae
Description: tRNA HMEL008394
Source: RNAcentral
GCUCUCGUAGCGCAGGGGUUUAUGCGUGUGAUUGUAACGCAACGGUUGUGGAUUCGAUUCCCACCCGAGAGAA